Molecule: ribosomal RNA, 253 nt
Filed under: uncultured bacterium
Lineage: Bacteria
Description: partial 16S ribosomal RNA
Rfam family: Bacterial small subunit ribosomal RNA
Source: RNAcentral
UACGGAGGGUGCAAGCGUUAUCCGGAUUCACUGGGUUUAAAGGGUGCGUAGGUGGGUCGGUAAGUCCGUGGUGAAAUCUCCGAGCUUAACUCGGAAACUGCCGUGGAUACUAUCGAUCUUGAAUACUGUGGAGGUAAGCGGAAUAUGUCAUGUAGCGGUGAAAUGCUUAGAUAUGACAUAGAACACCGAUAGCGAAGGCAGCUUGCUACACAGUUAUUGACACUGAGGCACGAAAGCGUGGGGAGCAAACAGG